UACGUAGGCAGCGAGCGUUGUUCGGAAUUACUGGGCGUAAAGAGUGUGUAGGCGGUGCUCUAAGUUUGGUGUGAAAUCUCCCGGCUCAACUGGGAGGGUGCAUCGAAAACUGGAGUGCUCGAGGGUGGGAGAGGUAAGCGGAAUUCCUGGUGUAGCGGUGAAAUGCGUAGAUAUCAGGAGGAACACCGGUGGCGAAGGCGGGUCUCUGGGCCGAUACUGACGCUGAGGAGCGAAAGCGUGGGGAGCGAACAGG
RNAcentral lists this ribosomal RNA (253 nucleotides) under uncultured bacterium. Its description in RNAcentral is "partial 16S ribosomal RNA". It matches the Rfam family "Bacterial small subunit ribosomal RNA", at positions 524 to 776 of the family's 1533-position model. The record is from RNAcentral.